AGAGUUUGAUCCUGGCUCAGGACGAACGCUGGCGGCGUGCUUAACACAUGCAAGUCGAACGGAAAGGCCCUUCGGGGUACUCGAGUGGCGAACGGGUGAGUAACACGUGGGUGAUCUGCCCUGCACUUUGGGAUAAGCCUGGGAAACUGGGUCUAAUACCGAAUAUGACCAUGCACUUCCUGGUGUGUGGUGGAAAGCUUUUGCGGUGUGGGAUGGGCCCGCGGCCUAUCAGCUUGUUGGUGGGGUAAUGGCCUACCAAGGCGACGACGGGUAGCCGGCCUGAGAGGGUGACCGGCCACACUGGGACUGAGAUACGGCCCAGACUCCUACGGGAGGCAGCAGUGGGGAAUAUUGCACAAUGGGCGAAAGCCUGAUGCAGCGACGCCGCGUGGGGGAUGACGGCCUUCGGGUUGUAAACCUCUUUCACCAUCGACGAAGGUCCGGGUUUUCUCGGGCUGACGGUAGGUGGAGAAGAAGCACCGGCCAACUACGUGCCAGCAGCCGCGGUAAUACGUAGGGUGCGAGCGUUGUCCGGAAUUACUGGGCGUAAAGAGCUCGUAGGUGGUUUGUCGCGUUGUUCGUGAAAUCUCACGGCUUAACUGUGAGCGUGCGGGCGAUACGGGCAGACUUGAGUACUGCAGGGGAGACUGGAAUUCCUGGUGUAGCGGUGGAAUGCGCAGAUAUCAGGAGGAACACCGGUGGCGAAGGCGGGUCUCUGGGCAGUAACUGACGCUGAGGAGCGAAAGCGUGGGGAGCGAACAGGAUUAGAUACCCUGGUAGUCC
This 783-nucleotide ribosomal RNA is filed under the name uncultured bacterium. Its description in RNAcentral is "bacterial SSU rRNA". It matches the Rfam family "Bacterial small subunit ribosomal RNA", at positions 8 to 796 of the family's 1533-position model. The record is from RNAcentral.